GAUAGCCAAAAUUACAUUUCACAUUUAUAAUAAACGUUUAGAAGCCUUGUAAAGUAAAUUUUUAGUCAUGGUUUAGAUCAUUUUUUUAUUUUGUAAAGUUUACAUUUAGCUUAUAUAUAAUUUAACAUGUGGUAUUUUUUUCAGUAUUUUUAGAUCCUGUUGCUCAAGUUGGAUUCCAAUUGUCCAACAAUUUAUCUUAGUGUUCUAAUGGAUAUUUUCGAAACACGUGCUGAUGGAGAGCCUGAUUUAAUUAACCCUCAAAUUAUUUCUGAAAGUACAAACGAGUCAUACCGUGCCUUCAUUCGCCAACAACAUAAUCAAAGAGAAAGGGAUUGGCGAAAUCAAGUUAAAAUUGGAUGCAUUGAUCGUCACAAAAGGAUUACUGACCCUAUGUUAUGUGGAAAUAAUAAUUCAAGUACUGUCCAAAUGCAUGAAUCUACUAUAAAUGAUCAUUGUAAAGCUUCUACUUCAAAUAAAGGAACAACUUAUAUUUCCAAUUCUGAAGUAGAAGAAAGUUCUAAGAUAUUGAAUAUAUCAAGUACUGCAUAUGUAUUACCAACAUGCAUUGACUGUAAGCAUUGUGGUGCACGAAAAUUUUAUAGAGAAAAUAAAGGUUUUUGUUGUUCUGAUGGAAAAGUUAAGCUCUUUAUGCCAGAAUCACCAAUUGAAUUGUACGACUUGUUUACUUCUAAAGAUCCUAUGUAUAUGGAAUUCAAAAAAAAAUGCAAGAGGAUAUAAAAAUCAUUUUGCGUUCACAUCGUUCGAUGUAAAGCAGAUAGAGAACUUUUGAAAACAUAUAGAGCUAUUUACAUAUUUAGGGUUCAGGGACAAGUAUAUCAUUAUAUAAAUCAACUUAUGCCUUAGAAUAAUACGCUUUCUUACAUGCAAUUAUAUUUUUAUGAUACAAAUAAUGAGCUUCAAAAUCGUAUGAAAAUUUCAGAGAAUUUCAUUGAAUCUACUUUAAUUACCUUAAUUGAAAUUCUUAAAGUAAAUUCAUAUAGUAGAUUUUUUAGGUCUUUAAGUGAUAUGACUAAUUUACAUGAUCAUCGAAUACAUAUAAGAUGUGAUCCAAGAGUUGAUCAAAGAGUCUUCAAUACUCCUACAACAUUUCAAGUAGCUAUUGUUUGGGUUGAAGAAGAUGAAAAUGCAAAUGUUCACAUUCGUGAUAUUACUAUAUAUGGUCAUUAUGGUGAUUCACACAGGUUUCACUAUUACUAUUGUUGUUAUAAUCCUUUGCAAUAUCCUUUGAUUUUUCUAUAUGGUGAAUCUGGUUGGCAUGAAGGUAUUGAGAGAUGUAGAAGCACAUACUUUUAGCCUCAACAUUUGCCCGACUCUAUUGCUUUUCCUAGCACAAUUAAUUCUGCAGCUGAAAUUCUCGAAAAAGAGGAUACAAUGCUCAAUGGAACCAAAAAACGGUCUCAGGUUUCUUGCCGAGAAUACUAUUCGUACAAAUUACAAAUUGGACUUUUUGGGCAUUGUAGAUAGUGUUCAAAAUGGAAAGACAAGAGGGUGCAAAAUUAGAAGGAAGCUUGUUUUACCACAAUCUUUUACAUGUGGCUCUAGAGAUCUGCUAAGGAGAUACAUGGAUGCGAUGGCUAUUGUACAACGUUAUGGAAAAUCAGAAGUAUUUUUUACUAUAACAUGUAAUAUAAAUUGGCCAGAAAUCAAGCGAGAACUAAGACACAAUGAAGAGGUUCUGAAUCGACCAGAUCUAAUCACGCGUAUAUUUAGAGCAAAAUUAGAAGAGUUGAAAAACGAUUUAUGUAAGGAAAAUGUAUUAGGCCCCGUUGCUGCUUUGAAUUUCAAAAAAGAGGGCUUCCUCAUACACAUCUAUUGUUGAUUUUUAAAUGCGGCUACAAAAUUUGUUGUUCUGAAGAAGUUGAUAAGAUAGUAUCUUGUGAAAUUCCUAACAAACCAAAACACCCCAUCUUCAUUCAAUUAUUUUUAAACAUAAUAUGCAUGGUCCUUGUGGAAAUUUAAAUCCUAAAAAUGUAUGUAUGGAAACAAAUAAUGGUUGUAAAAAUAAAUAUCUGAGGGAUUAUUGUAAUACUACUAUAUUUUGCGAUAACUCAUAUCCAUUGUAUAGGCAACGUAAUAAUGGAAUUUCUAUUAAAGUUAUGGGUCAAAUGUUUAACAAUCGUUGGGUCGCACCAUACGAUCCUUAUUUAAGUGCGAAAUUUGACUGCCACAUCAAUGUUGAAGUAUGUUCUUCUAUCAAAACUGUAAAAUAUUUGUAUAAAUAUGUGUACAAAGAAUAUGAUCGUAUUAAUUUCUUCGUUGACACAAAUGAAACAAAUGAGGAAAUCGAUGAAAUUUUUGCUUAUCAAUCUGCUAGAUGGAUAUCUCCACCCGAGGUUAUGUGGAGAAUUUUUUCUUUCAAUUUGUCAGAUAUUUAUCCAUAUGUUUAUUCUUUACACUUUCAUAUUGAGGAUCAUCAAUAAAUAACAUAUAUUGAUCAUGAUGAUUUAUCAACUAUUAUUGAAAAAGAAAAUACGAGAAGAACUAUGUUAACUGAAUUCUUUCUAAUGAAUGAAGAAAAUGAACUUGUUCAUACAUUGUUGUAUCGAGAUUUCCCAAAAUAUUUUGUUUGGAAUGCAAAUAACAAAAUUUGGACUCCUAGAAAGAAGCAAAUUGUUAUAGGACGAAUUGUAAUAGCUAAUUCUUCUGAAGGAGAACGAUAUUUCCUUCGCAUUCUUCUUAAUCAUAUUAGAGGAUCAGUAUCAUUUCGUGAUUUACGAACUUUAAAUGGGGUAACUGUUGCUACAUAUCGAGAAGCAACACUUUUAUAUGAUUUAUUAAGCGGAGACAAUCAUUUUGAAGAAUGUAUAUUUGAAGUUAUUGUUUAUGAAAUGCCUACUUUUUUAAAACGUCUCUUUGCUAUACUUCUUACACUUUGCAAUCCUAACCAUCCAAAGUUCUUGUGGGACAAGUUUAAGGUUUAUAUGUUUGACGACUAUGUACGUCAAAAUAUACCUAAGGAGAUUGUGGAACUACGGGCUUUAGAAGACAUUAGUUCUAUUUUGGAAUCAUUAGGUAAGAACAUAAAUGAUUAUGUCAUGGUGCCAUUCAAUGUAAAUAUAUAUGAAACUGAAAGGUUGAGAAGAAUGGUUGAAGAGGAGACAACUAAUUUUGAUAUUGAAGGGGGUCUUGCUUGUGCUGCAAUAUUAAAUAAAGAACAAGAGUUUGCAUAUGAUAUAAUUAUGGAAAAAGUAAAAUCUGAAUCGAGUGGUGCUUUCUUCAUCGAGGGUCUAGGUGGGACAGGAAAAACAUUUUUAUAUAAAGCACUCCUAACUGGUGUAAGGUCACAAAAUUUAAUUGUUUUGGCAACUGCAUCAUUUGGAGUAUCUGCAUCUCUUUUAUCUGGAGGUCGAACGGCUCAUUCAAGAUUUAAAAUUCCUUUAAAAACAGUUGGUGAAAUAAAAUGUUCUGUUAGCAGGCAAUCAACUUUAAGAAGUUUGUUGAAAAUGUCUAGGUUGAUCAUUUGGGAUGAAACACCGAUGGUAAAUCGUUUUGCUGUUGAAGCUGUAGAUAAGAUGUUUAGGGAUAUUACAGAUUAUAACUUGCUUUUUGGUGGAAAAGUAGUUGUUCUUGGAGGAAAUUUUCGUCAAGUUCUACCAGAGGUGCCGACAUAAUGAAAGUUAGCUUAAUUUUCUCAAACUUAUGGCCUUCGUAUUUGCAUCUACCAUUGAUCGAGAAUAUGAUGGCGAAGUUGGAUCCCACAUUUUUUGAUUACUUGAUAAGAAUUGGAGAUGAAACGGAGAAAGAACAUAGUUGUAAAUGCAUUAAACUUCCAAACAAUAUAGUUUUGCCAUUUGAAGAUGAAAUUACAUCUUUAAAAAAUUUGAUACAUCAUGUUUUUCCAGAUAUAGAAGCAUAUGUUGAUAAUCUCUAUGCGAUGGUAAAUCAAGUUAUUCUUACGCCUCAAAUGAAGGUGUUGAUCAUAUUAACCAAAUUUUGCUCGAACAGAUUCCAAGUGAAAUGUUCGCAUAUUACAGUUUCAAUGAAGCAAUUGAUAAAUCAAAACAAAACUUGCAAGAAGAUUUUUUUGAAUAGUCUAACCCCAAAUGGUAUUCCACCACAUAAAUUGGAACUUAAGAUAAAUUGUCGUGUCAUGUUAUUGCGAAAUAUCAAUCCUUCUGAAGGAUUGUACAAUGGGACACGCUUAACUUGUCGAAAGUUUCAAAAGAACGUAAUUCUUGCUAAAAUCACAACUGACGAGUCUUGUGGAAAAUAUGUUUUCUUGUCAAGAACCCUUCUAUACCUCUAAAAAAUGAUCAAAACUCAAUUCAAUUCAAAAGAACUCAAUUUCCAAUCAGACUGUGCUUCGCAAUGACGAUAAACAAAGCACAGGGUCAAACGCUUAAUUUUGUGGGUUUGUAUCUUCCAGAGACAAUUUUCUGUCAUGAUCAACUUUAUGUAGCAUUAUCAAGGACAAAAACAAGCACAUCUAUCAAAGUUCUACUUAAACCAUUAAAAGCAGAAAAUUUUCACAAAACAUGUACCAAAAAUGUUGUCUACAAAGAAAUUUUUCCGUUCAUAAAUAUGUCAGAAAGAUCUGAAAAAUAAGACAUUGACCCCCACAUGCGUUUUAGGUUUCUUUGUGGAACUUCAUACAAUUCUUGUCUUACUUCAACGGCCUUCUAAAUCUUGGCUUUAUCAAAGGGUCCAAAAAUGAAUCUUGGUGCUAAGGGCUAGAUAGAUUGGCUUCUAGAUCUGCUCAAUACUAUGCAAGGGCAUGUUUUGCAAAAUGGUUUGUUGUUUUGAUUUAUACAUAUCAGCUGUAUCUUUUACUUUAGAAUCUCCAUUUCAAUAAAUUUUCCUUUUAUGGAAGAAAAAAGAUGUUGUACUGACCUUUUCCCUUUGCAUUCUAAUAUUCUAGGAGAAGUGUUUUACGAUACCUUGUGGUCCUUCUGCUCUGGCUAUUAAAGCAGCGGCAUGGUGCUAAUUGCCAUUGACUAAUGAACAAUUGCAAAUAAAACUGAAUAAUUAUUUAUGAUUUCUUGUAAUAAAAUUUUUCGAAUGGUGUAGAGAUACCAUUGUGAUUAUUUAUGAUUUCUUGUGAUUAAAUAAAACUGAACAGAAGUGAAUAAUGAACCUUUGCGUACUAAAAGCUCUACGAGCCUUAGGUAAAAAAUACUAGGUCUUUCGAUCACUUCAAUUUGCAAACUUAGUUUCAUAUGCUCUUUUUUACUUUAUAUAUGUUGAUGCACAUCCUCAGCAAAUAAAUCUGCAUCUUUCUAUUUUAAUUUUAAAUAGGCAACCAGUUUUGCCAACUGUGAUUUAUUAUUUUGGUAAAAUUUUCUAUUAUUGUUGUUUCCUAAUUAUACUUGUCUUCACACGAGAAUUCUAUUAAAAUAUUUUCUUAUUAUUAUCUAAAAUCUUCUUACUCAUUAGACUAUAGAGAUAGAAUUCAUCGCUAUGCCUUAUAUAGCCAAUUCUUUUUAGAUUGCUCCUCUGAGUAAAAUUCUUGAUUAUUAAGAGCGUUUCUUUCUUGAGACAUUCAAAUUUUUGCUGUAUCCCCUCUCAUUUCGUAUGUGUUAAAUCUAAUCAUCAGUUUAAGCAUUUUCCUAAUCAAUGUUCGCUAAAUGUUCUUCAUUUCUGCUAUAACCUGCUUCAUAAGUUAUCUUUUAUUUUUUCCUCCUUUUUGAAAAGCUACCAUAAUGGGCUUCCUUUGCAUCAUGAUACAAAAAGAGGCCUUGACCAAACUGUAAAGUUGCUUCUUUCACAUGGAGCAAAUACUGACAUUUUCCCAUUAUGCUUAUUAGGGGCACAUGUGCUUAUUCUCUGGUUGGUUGAAAGAGCUUUACGGGCCUAGCUUUCUUAAACUAAUGCACCUCAAUUGCUUUCAAGAGAACUAUUUGGAUGAUUGUGAUCACUUCACCAUGCUUCCUCCUGUUUUUUAAUGUCACGUCUUUUUUUUUUUUUUUUUUUUUUUUUUUUUUUUUUCGUUAUCGUCUUUUAUCAUUAGGACCAACAGAAGUUUUUUGACACUACUACAUAUCAGCUUCGUUGGUACAAUAAUAUGGGUUUGCUCUGUUAGGUGCAUGUGGCAAAAAAUAGUAGGAUAUUGAUGUACGUUUUUGUAUUUUGUACAACGUUGUUGAAACUAGCAAUCGAGUGCCUCAAUUAGCUAAAAUUGUACUUCA
This is an RNA transcript of Olea europaea var. sylvestris, 6146 nucleotides long. RefSeq lists it as uncharacterized. The record is from RefSeq and is a predicted model, not a curated record. The transcript is spliced from 6 exons. NCBI's taxonomy places the organism in Eukaryota, Viridiplantae, Streptophyta, Magnoliopsida, Lamiales, Oleaceae.